AUAUUGUGCUAAGCGAUCUCGUUAUAGUCAAAACAAUGAAAGAUCCGCAGGAAUUGGGAUUAUGUCAGUUGGAGGAUCAUACGACGCUUCAUAAUGUCGGAAUAACAUAAUUACAUACUUGGACUGUUGGAUACCAAGUCCCGUGUGAUGUUAAAUAGAAGGAAAAACAACUGUCAUGAUACAAAUGGAGAUCGGAUAGAACAAUAAACCAAUUCAAGUGCUUUAAACAUUUCAGUAGAAAAAAUACUGUCACUGCAUAGUUUAGAAAUGUUGACUCAUAAGCUUUAAUUAAUAUUAAUGUAUAUUUUAUCAGAAAUUUUGAGAUUAGGUAAGAAAUAACCAAACUGUUCAAUAUUAUGUACAUUUUUUUAAUUACUGAAUUUAAAAGACCAUAUUUAUUGAAGACACUUCAAAACGCA
This is a long non-coding RNA of Ostrea edulis (European flat oyster), 419 nucleotides long. RefSeq lists it as uncharacterized. The record is from RefSeq and is a predicted model, not a curated record. The transcript is spliced from 2 exons. Lineage: Eukaryota; Metazoa; Mollusca; Bivalvia; Ostreida; Ostreidae.